AACGAACGCUGGCGGCAUGCCUAACACAUGCAAGUCGAACGAGACCUUCGGGUCUAGUGGCGCAAGGGUGCGUAACGCGUGGGAACCUGCACUUAGGUUCGGAAUAACUCCCCGAAAGGGGUGCUAAUACCGGUUGAUGUCUUCGGACCAAAGAUUUAUCGCCUUUGGAUGGGCCCGCGUUGGAUUAGCUGGUUGGUAGGGUAAACGCCUACCAAGGCGACGGUCGAUAGCUGGUCUGAGAGGAUGAUCGGCCACACUGGGACUGAGACACGGCCCAGACUCCGACGGGAGGCAGCAGUAGGGAACAUUGGACACUGGGCGAAUGCCGGAUCCAGCAAUGCCGGGUGAGUGAUGAAGGCCUUAGGGUUGUAAAGCUCUUUUACCCGGGAUGAUAAUGACAGUACCUGGAGAAUAAGCUCCGGCUAACUCCGUG
This 433-nucleotide ribosomal RNA is filed under the name uncultured bacterium. RNAcentral describes it as "partial 16S ribosomal RNA". It matches the Rfam family "Bacterial small subunit ribosomal RNA", at positions 29 to 507 of the family's 1533-position model. The record is from RNAcentral.